AUGGAGUGCUCCAAUGGCAGCAGCCCGAGCACAACAGCGAGAUCCAUCUACGACGACGAGGGGGCUACUCCGACGAUCAUCCUGGAGGUUGGGGAUGGUGAGGGGAAGGAUCGCAUGCCCUUCAUCAUUAGCAAGGACCUUCCCGAGUUGACGCCUAUCAUGUGUUUGACAAAAUGCUCAAGCCUCGACGUCGAGCCUGAUUUCACCAUGGCUGCGGUGGUUACAUGUUCCAACACUGCCGUGGACUCCAAAGAGUUGGUAGCCACCGAUGGCGCAACCGGCACCACCAUCAUUGACCCCCGUGUUUGUUCCAAGGAGACGCACACCAAGUGUUUGUUGUUCGGCCCCGAUGUCAACGGUGUCACUGAUAGAGGUGUGAUUGCGUUCCAAAGUAGGAUGGGUGUGUUCAAGGUCGUUCCGAUAUCAAGUCAGUCCAUGGAGUUGAUGGUUGACGAGAAAGCAACUUGCACUGACACCACUCACCUUCCCAAGGUGAUGCACCCAAGCCAUUUGAUGUUGGGCCCCAACAUCAACACCGGUACUGUCCAGGCUGGGGUUGCGUACUCACUAUUGCUUGGCGCGCCAGAAGGAAUAGCAUCCUCGGGAAAGGCCACACUAGUCAUGGCACAAAAGCUAAACUCCAAUUUCUGCCUAAAAUGGGUGGCGCUCAACAGGUGUUCGACCAAAUGCUCCAAGGGCUACAAGAAGCUGUUGAUGAGUCAUCCCAAGAGAAACCCAUGGCCACCUCCUUGCUCAGGUGGAGUGGUUAGAAGAUGGAAGGAGUGGUAUGUGCCCUGGGCUGCGGGCAAUUAUUUGGGGAUAAUAUUUUAUUUCAUGCCACCAUGGCCACCACCAACUCAAAUUGGAACCAUAAUACUUUGGCUGCUGGUAAACACAUGGUUGAUGGAAGUAGAGCUGAAACCGUGGCCUGACCCACAACCAAGUCAAUAUAACGGAGGCGUGAUGUGGGCGGGGAUACAUUUUGGGGUCAGAAGGAUUUCUGGGAUUAUUGCUAGAGGUGCUGGUGAGAAUCAGAACAGGAAGGUCAAGACAUGUGGUUAUGAUUCCAUUUUUGAUUUCUGUGAGAACAAUCCUAGUGAUGGUAGUGCUGCAGCAAGGUUUUCCAUUGAUAUCGGGACAGAUUCAGAGAUGAUAUAUGCAUCAAUUGCAAACAGGGAUUAUUGGUCUGUUAAAUUAUUGGAGGUCAUAAAAGAGGGGUGCUCAAUACGCCACUUGUUACUAGGUGAUAUCAAGAAAGAACAAUUGCUGCAAUGUGAGACAUUCAGUACAAGACAGACAAAUACAGAGCAAGUUAUCAAGCUACAGGUGAGCAAUUCCAAGGAAAUACAAGAGCUACAGGUACCAUGGGAUCCAGGAGGUUUUCUUCAUCGGCUUGGGGACAAGCCAAAUUUCAAGAAGAGGGGAUUGUCAGGGACUCGGGCGGGCUGCACAUGGGCCGCUGGCUACACCACGGGUUGGUCAGCCCAUCGCCAAGAAGCCCAAGCAAGCCCAAGCUGAAAAAUAUAUG
RNAcentral lists this long non-coding RNA (1528 nucleotides) under Oryza sativa Indica Group (long-grained rice). RNAcentral's name for it is "lncRNA OsMH63_10G015550". The record is from RNAcentral. Lineage: Eukaryota; Viridiplantae; Streptophyta; Magnoliopsida; Poales; Poaceae.